GCCACGGUGGUUCUAGCGGUUAGAACGCUGGCCUUGUAAUCCUGGGGGUCUCGGGUUCGAUUCCCGGCGGUGCCC
Non-coding RNA from Zootermopsis nevadensis, 75 nucleotides. The record is from Rfam. NCBI's taxonomy places the organism in Eukaryota, Metazoa, Arthropoda, Insecta, Blattodea, Termopsidae.